Molecule: transfer RNA, 81 nt
Filed under: Alphaproteobacteria bacterium
Lineage: Bacteria; Pseudomonadati; Pseudomonadota; Alphaproteobacteria
Description: tRNA-Ala
Rfam family: tRNA
About the family: Transfer RNA (tRNA) molecules are approximately 80 nucleotides in length. Their secondary structure includes four short double-helical elements and three loops (D, anti-codon, and T loops). Further hydrogen bonds mediate the characteristic L-shaped molecular structure. tRNAs have two regions of fundamental functional importance: the anti-codon, which is responsible for specific mRNA codon recognition, and the 3' end, to which the tRNAs corresponding amino acid is attached (by aminoacyl-tRNA synthetases). tRNAs cope with the degeneracy of the genetic code in two manners: having more than one tRNA (with a specific anti-codon) for a particular amino acid; and 'wobble' base-pairing, i.e. permitting non-standard base-pairing at the 3rd anti-codon position.
Source: RNAcentral
GGGGGUGUAGCUCAGCUGGGAGAGCGCGUCGUUCGCAAUGACGAGGUCAGGUCGUCGGUUCGAUCCCGAUCACCUCCACCA